GCCAGCAACCAUGUCACCCUGGACCUUACAAUUGACAGCCCACUGAAGCUAAGCAGGUGUGAGCCUGGUCAGUACUAGGAUGUGAGACCUCCUGGGAAAAAAGGUUGCUGCUGGAA
This 116-nucleotide ribosomal RNA is filed under the name Lepisosteus oculatus (spotted gar). The record is from RNAcentral. Lineage: Eukaryota; Metazoa; Chordata; Actinopteri; Semionotiformes; Lepisosteidae.